RNAcentral lists this ribosomal RNA (506 nucleotides) under uncultured bacterium. RNAcentral's name for it is "partial 16S ribosomal RNA". It matches the Rfam family "Bacterial small subunit ribosomal RNA", at positions 29 to 523 of the family's 1533-position model. The record is from RNAcentral.
AGUGAACGCUGGCGGUAGGCCUAACACAUGCAAGUCGAACGGCAGCACAGGAGAGCUUGCUCUCUGGGUGGCGAGUGGCGGACGGGUGAGGAAUACAUCGGAAUCUACUUUUUCGUGGGGGAUAACGUAGGGAAACUUACGCUAAUACCGCAUACGACCUACGGGUGAAAGCAGGGGACCUUCGGGCCUUGCGCGAUUGAAUGAGCCGAUGUCGGAUUAGCUAGUUGGCGGGGUAAAGGCCCACCAAGGCGACGAUCCGUAGCUGGUCUGAGAGGAUGAUCAGCCACACUGGAACUGAGACACGGUCCAGGCUCCUACGGGAGGCAGCAGUGGGGAAUAUUGGACGAUGGGCGCAAGCCUGAUCCAGCCAUACCGCGUGGGUGAGGAAGGCCUUCGGGUUGUAAAGCCCUUUUGUUGGGAAAGAAAUCCAGCUGGCUAAUACCCGGUUGGGAUGACGGUACCCAAAGAAUAAGCACCGGCUAACUUCGUGCCAGCCGCCGCCGUAA